UGAGCCAUACUUACUUAUUUUUACAUACAGGUGUGAGCCAUAUUUACUUACUUAUUUUUACAUAAAAUACAAACACUUUAAAUAAAGUUGAAGAUCAUCUCAAUGGGCCAAGUGGUCAAGCCGAACACCCAGGAUCCAGCUGUCCAGUUCAGGGUAGCCCCUGAGCUUCUCGCUCUGACUCCAACAGGGCGAGCUUGCUAUCCUUGUGGCACGGGGCCUUUUGCAUUGUGGAUGAUGGAGCAUCUCAUAUAGUCCAUAAGUUUUGUGCGUAGCUGUGUAUCCUGUCCCUGUGAGCUGGUUCUGCCCGGCACCUCUGUGACCUCGAGGAAAGAAGCUAAGAGACAGUCUUGCUUUGUCACCCAGGCUGGAGGGCAGUGGCACCAUCAUAGCUCAUUGCAGACUCGAACUCCUGGGCUCAAGGGAUCCUCCUGCCUCGGCCUCUCAAAAUGGUGAGAUUAUGGACAUGAGACACUGCACUGGGCCUAUUGUGUAUCUUCUCGGCCGAAAAUUGAAACAUGCCUUGUGAGCAUUUACUGCAACUUGAAUGAGUGAUUAUUAUGUUGCCUUUAAUCCUGAGAGACUGUAUUACUUGUGCACUUUUUUUUUUUUGGAUGGGUGAAAUUAGAUUUACUCCCUAUAUGUUUUAGAAAAUUGAAGUUUUAAAUAUCAGACUCACUA
Long non-coding RNA from Nomascus leucogenys (northern white-cheeked gibbon), 678 nucleotides. RefSeq lists it as uncharacterized. The record is from RefSeq and is a predicted model, not a curated record. Lineage: Eukaryota; Metazoa; Chordata; Mammalia; Primates; Hylobatidae.